Molecule: long non-coding RNA, 587 nt
Filed under: Mytilus galloprovincialis (Mediterranean mussel)
Lineage: Eukaryota; Metazoa; Mollusca; Bivalvia; Mytilida; Mytilidae
Source: RNAcentral
CCCAAAACAUACUUUAUAAAACAAAUGUUUCACAUUAUAUAAUAUUUAUAUCGAACAAAUUUUCAUAUUUUUCAGGAAAAAGGGUAGGCCAGAGACAUUAAUAGAGAUAUAUAGUUUAAAGUGUAAAGGUGGUUUUUGAAUUUGGAACAUCCCCUUGUAGACAUAAACUUGCUUCAUGUUGAUUUGCAAAUGCAUUUUGAAUGCACCUUUAAAUUGAUAAUUGUUCCAACUGUAGAAUUUUCCAAUAUUCCGCAGUGAUCUCACACUUAUCAUUUGUCUUGAUACAAUGUAUCCGUCCACUUUUGGAUAACCUCCGUUUUAAGCAUAUGUAAAAUGGAGUAAAUCAAGUACCUAUGUUCCAUCAUAUAAAAAAUAUUGUCCUUUAACGUAGUAGUUUAGGGUAUAAACCAGCUAGAGGCUCGAAGGUGUCUGGAUAGCGUCGCUCAUCUGUCAUGUUGACCGCCAAAAACUAUACAAUACAAUUAGGCAUUUUGCCAAAACAGAAUAGGAUUGAUUGAUUGUUGGUGUUUAACAUCUAAAUCCCAGCAUGCACUUUGAUAUAUGGAAGCUAAUGGUACAAUUAAAGA